This 384-nucleotide ribosomal RNA is filed under the name uncultured bacterium. RNAcentral describes it as "bacterial SSU rRNA". It matches the Rfam family "Bacterial small subunit ribosomal RNA", at positions 28 to 412 of the family's 1533-position model. The record is from RNAcentral.
GACGAACGCUGGCGGCGUGCUUAACACAUGCAAGUCGAGCGGUAAGGCCCUUUCGGGGGUACACGAGCGGCGAACGGGUGAGUAACACGUGGGUGACCUGCCCUCAGCUCUGGGAUAAGCCCGGGAAACUGGGUCUAAUACCGGAUAUGACUCCAUGACGCAUGUUGUGGGGUGGAAAGCCUUGUGCGGCUAGGGAUGGGCCCGCGGCCUAUCAGCUUGUUGGUGGGGUGAUGGCCUACCAAGGCGACGACGGGUAGCCGGCCUGAGAGGGCGACCGGCCACACUGGGACUGAGACACGGCCCAGGACUCCUACGGGAGGCAGCAGUGGGGAAUCUUGCGCAAUGGGCGAAAGCCUGACGCAGCGACGCCGCGUGAGGGAUGAC